GAUGAAGAACGCAGCGAAAUGCGAUAAGUAAUGUGAAUUGCAGAAUUCAGUGAAUCAUCGAAUCUUUGAACGCACAUUGCGCCCGCCAGUAUUCUGGCGAGCAUGCCUGUUCGAGCGUCAUUUCAACCAUCAAGCCCCAGGCUUGUGUUGGAGCCCUGCGGCUGCCGCAGCCUCCCAAAACCAGUGGCGGGCUCGCUAUCACACCGAGUGCAGUAGUUUACUCUUCGCUCAGGGCGUGUGGCGGGUGCUAGCCGUGAAACCCCCAACUUCUCAAGGUUGACCUCGGAUCAGGUAGGGAUACCCGCUGAACUUAAGCAUAUCAAUAAGCGGAGGA
RNAcentral lists this unclassified non-coding RNA (334 nucleotides) under soil metagenome. RNAcentral describes it as "partial contains 5.8S ribosomal RNA, internal transcribed spacer 2, and large subunit ribosomal RNA". The stretch from base 1 to 120 matches the Rfam family "5.8S ribosomal RNA", at positions 35 to 154 of the family's 154-position model. The record is from RNAcentral.